RNAcentral lists this transfer RNA (76 nucleotides) under Alphaproteobacteria bacterium. Its description in RNAcentral is "tRNA-Thr". It matches the Rfam family "tRNA". From Rfam's summary of the family: Transfer RNA (tRNA) molecules are approximately 80 nucleotides in length. Their secondary structure includes four short double-helical elements and three loops (D, anti-codon, and T loops). Further hydrogen bonds mediate the characteristic L-shaped molecular structure. tRNAs have two regions of fundamental functional importance: the anti-codon, which is responsible for specific mRNA codon recognition, and the 3' end, to which the tRNAs corresponding amino acid is attached (by aminoacyl-tRNA synthetases). tRNAs cope with the degeneracy of the genetic code in two manners: having more than one tRNA (with a specific anti-codon) for a particular amino acid; and 'wobble' base-pairing, i.e. permitting non-standard base-pairing at the 3rd anti-codon position. The record is from RNAcentral. Lineage: Bacteria; Pseudomonadati; Pseudomonadota; Alphaproteobacteria.
GCCGUUGUAGCUCAGUCGGUAGAGCACGUCAUUCGUAAUGACGGGGUCGGGGGUUCGAAUCCCUUCAACGGCACCA